AAUGUUAUAAAAUUGUAAAAUUAAAAUUUUUAUAUUAAAGUAAAUUUGAAUUUUACCUUUUGUAUCAGGGAUUAUUUAAAUUAAAAUUUUAAUAAAUUAAUCGAUAAUAAAAUAAUUAGUUUUAUUUUAAUGUUAAUAUUACAAAAUUAUUUUUAAAAUAAAACUAGUUUUUAUAUAAUUUCAAUUUUUUAGGUAUCUAUUUUAUUUAUAAAAAAAUUAUUUUAAGUUAUUUUAUUAAUUUAAUAAAAUAACAUAAUAUUUUUUGGAUAAUCUAAAAAUAUCAAUUAAAAGUUUAGCCUAAAUAAUUAAUAAAAUUAAAAUUAAAGUUUUUAAUUUUAAUAACUUUUUAUAAAAAAAUAAUUUAAAUUAAAAUAUUUUUAAUAACUUUAAAAAUAAAAAAAAAAUUAGAAAACUUUACCUUAAUUAUUAAAAUGAUAUUAUUAUUAAAUAUUUUAUUUUAAAAUUAAAUUUUAAAUUAAAAACUAAUAAAACUAGACUAAAAAUAUUUAAAUGUUUAACAAAAACAUUUCCUGAAGUAUUAAUUUUCAGGUAAUACCUGCUCAAUGAAAAAUUAAAUGGCUGCAUUAUUGUACUAAGGUAGCAUAAUAAUUAGAAUUUUAAUUAAAUUCCAGAAUGAAUGGUUUAAUAAAAUAUUUUUUUUUAUUAGAAUCAAAUAUAAAUUAAUUUUUUAGUCAAAAAGCUAAGAUAAAACAAAAAGACAAUAAGACCCUAAAAAUUUCAGUUUACUUUUAUUGGGGCAAUAAAUAAAAUUUUAUAUUAAUUUUUAAUUUUAAAGAUCUUUAUUAAAAAUAAAUUAAAUUACUUUAGGGAUAACAGCAUAAUUUUAUUUUAAGAACUUAUUAUAAAUAAAGUUUAUGACCUCGAUGUUGGAUUAAAAUUUUAAUAAAGCACAAAUUAUAAAAUAAAGGUCUGUUCGACCAAAUAAUUUCACAUGAUCUGAGUUCAGACCGGCGUAAGCCAGGUCAGUUUAUACCUUUUAUAUAACUUAUUUUUAAUAGUACGAAAGGACCUUAAUAAUUUUAAAUAUAAAUAAAAUUUAUAUAUCUUUAUAGUUUAAUUUCUAAACUAAUAAUAAUAUUAAUA
Molecule: ribosomal RNA, 1104 nt
Filed under: Acerella muscorum
Lineage: Eukaryota; Metazoa; Arthropoda; Protura; Acerentomata; Acerentomidae
Description: 16S ribosomal RNA
Source: RNAcentral